GAUUCUGGCUCAGGAUGAACGCUAGCGACAGGCUUAACACAUGCAAGUCGAGGGGCAGCAUAAAAGUAGCAAUACUUGGUGGCGACCGGCGCACGGGUGAGUAACGCGUAUGCAACCUACCUAUCAGAGGGGAAUAACCCGGCGAAAGUCGGACUAAUACCGCAUAAAACAGGGGCACCGCAUGGUGAUAUUUGUUAAAGAAAUUCGCUGAUAGAUGGGCAUGCGUUCCAUUAGGUAGUUGGUGAGGUAACGGCUCACCAAGCCGACGAUGGAUAGGGGAACUGAGAGGUUGGUCCCCCACACUGGUACUGAGACACGGACCAGACUCCUACGGGAGGCAGCAGUGAGGAAUAUUGGUCAAUGGGCGGGAGCCUGAACCAGCCAAGUCGCGUGAAGGAAGAAGGAUCUAUGGUUCGUAAACUUCUUUUGCAGGGGAAUAAAGUGCAGGACGUGUCCUGUUUUGUAUGUACCCUGAGAAUAAGGAUCGGCUAACUCCGUGCCAGCAGCCGC
This 510-nucleotide ribosomal RNA is filed under the name uncultured bacterium. Its description in RNAcentral is "bacterial SSU rRNA". It matches the Rfam family "Bacterial small subunit ribosomal RNA", at positions 15 to 518 of the family's 1533-position model. The record is from RNAcentral.